This 492-nucleotide ribosomal RNA is filed under the name uncultured bacterium. Its description in RNAcentral is "partial 16S ribosomal RNA". It matches the Rfam family "Bacterial small subunit ribosomal RNA", at positions 29 to 507 of the family's 1533-position model. The record is from RNAcentral.
AGUGAACGCUGGCGGUAGGCCUAACACAUGCAAGUCGAACGGCAGCACAGUAAGUGCUUGCUCUUACGGGUGGCGAGUGGCGGACGGGGGAGGAAUACAUCGGAAUCUACUUUUUCGUGGGGGAUAACGUAGGGAAACUUACGCUAAUACCGCAUACGACCUACGGGGGAGAGCAGGGGAUCUUCUGACCUUGCGCGAGUGAAUGAGCCGAUGUCGGAUUAGCUAGUUGGCGGGGUAAAGGCGCACCAAGGCGACGAUCCGUAGCUGGUCUGAGAGGAUGGUCCGCCACACUGGAACUGAGACACGGUCCAGACUCCUACGGGAGGCAGCAGUGGGGAAUAUUGGGCAAUGGGCGAGAGCCUGAUCCAGCCAUACCGCGUGGGUGAAGAAGGCCUUCGGGUUGUAAAGCCCUUUUGUUGGUAAAGAAAAGCAGCAGGUUAAUACCCCGCUGUUCUGACGGUACCCAAAGAAUAAGCACCGGCUAACUUCGUG